This 29-nucleotide non-coding RNA is filed under the name Mus musculus (house mouse). Lineage: Eukaryota; Metazoa; Chordata; Mammalia; Rodentia; Muridae. The record is from RNAcentral.
UGAUCUCUUAAGAGAAUGAAGAGAGCAGC